CUUUGAAUACAAAGUAAAAGCCCUAGUUGGUUGUUCACCGGUUGGCUAAGUCCAGCCCGGAAUUUUAUGUUCAUAAAUCAAUAACAGGCCUUGGAGGAAGACGACGGGGCCAGUCACGGGAUCCUGAGCGGAGCCGAUGCCAGGGGCUCCACGAUCACGUCGUAAUGAGAGACCACCAUGAAGAAGGUGAGAAGAAUUAGGAAAUAGCUUUUCACUUUCGGACUUUCAGUGUGGCUUUAAUCACGGGCAGAUCACGUGGUGUCACUCUUUUAUAGUUUUAUUGGAUCUGACGAUUGACCAGUCCGAACUGGGAGAGAGUGAAAAUGGAGGAACCGUCGUCUCCUGGAACUAACCCAGUAGACAUGAAAGACUGCAUAGAAGAGAUGUUAAAAUUCACUCUUGAUUCUCAUAUCAAAGAAACCCUGGAAUUCGAUCUAGGGCUCUCAAAGGAUUUCCGCUCUCUUCUCCUCGAGGACUCUCAAUGUCAUACUGAUUGUGUAGAUAAAGAUCUCCAAUAUCCUCUAUACAAGCUUCUUGCAUCUUCUCUGUAUGAAUCUAUUGCUUCUGGAGCGUUUUGUGGAAGAGAGAGUGAAAUGGCAUCUUUGAAGGAAAAUGAUGUGUUGUUGAGUGAACGAAAAGAAGAUGACAAGUCAAAGCAGAAACAAAAGUGGCUUGAUUUGAUUCUGGAUAGGGGAUUUGAGAUACUAAACAUAUUGAAGAGCAUAAACUUUGAGCUUCAUGUUCAGGAGCCUUUCUUUACACAGCUAAGAGAUGGCCACAAAACAGUUGAAGGAAGGUGUGCUACUGGUGAUUAUAAUCGAAUUGAAUCAGGAUCGUCUAUUCUUUUUAAUAAAUGCGUGGUUCAUGAGGUUCAGGAGGUUCGUCGUUAUGCUUCAUUCCAUGAGAUGUUGGAAUCAGAGGGUCUGGCAAAAGUCCUUCCUGGAGUAAAAACCACUGACAGAGGUGUUCAAGUUUACAGAAACUUCUACACGGAAGAGAAGGAGAGGUCCAAUGGUGUCCUCGCAAUUUGUGUUGCAAAAUGUCCCAGCCAACCCUACUUUUUGCUGGCUGAAAUUUUAUCUGGAUUGAGGUGUGAUGGUGUUGAUUACCUUUUGGGUCUUUCACAUCAGGUCGGAACACGCAGCAGGGACUUCUGAAAGCAAAGUCAGUUCCUUUCUCUUCAUCUUCAUCUCCUAUUUAGCCAAAUAUAAGCACCUAUGUCAUGUGGCCUUGCUUGCCAGGUGCACAAAAGUCGAGUUGGAGAGUGAAGGAACCUCCAUAAAAUUUAGAGACGUAAAUAGUUGGGUUUUGGGUUUAGCUGAAUGAAGUGAACUGUUGGAUUCUUAAGAAAUUUUUCAGAAUUUAGACCCAUUAGCAGCAAAACAUGUUUCAUUCCAUUUUUUAGGAAUUUAUGGGUGAGGUGCUGACAUAUAUCUGUAAAUGUUGCUGCUCUAGAUGUGAUGAUAAGUCUCUCCCUUAACAUUUUCUCCAGAAGUUCAUUCCACACCUGCACAUUUCUAUUGACUCCGAAGACAAGGAGAUAGAAUAGGAUGCUUGUGGGCUUUGCCGAGAUUAACCUGAUUGGCGCUGACAUUGGCAGUACCUUCACAGUGUUCUUCUUUUCAAAUUUACUUCCUGAAAGCUCCUGUCUGCUGAUUUAAUGUCUCUUGUGUUUGUGUUUGUUUGUCUUCCCAGCAGAAGGAAAUUCUGUUUCUGCAUUGUAAACAUCAAGGAUGAUUUACUUGUUAAGAAGUAUUGGAACUUCUGUUGAAUUUAUUAAGGCCUCCCAUUGUUAAGCGUUU
This is an RNA transcript of Tripterygium wilfordii, 1802 nucleotides long. RefSeq lists it as uncharacterized. Lineage: Eukaryota; Viridiplantae; Streptophyta; Magnoliopsida; Celastrales; Celastraceae. The transcript has 9 exons. The record is from RefSeq and is a predicted model, not a curated record.